Molecule: ribosomal RNA, 435 nt
Filed under: uncultured bacterium
Lineage: Bacteria
Description: bacterial SSU rRNA
Rfam family: Bacterial small subunit ribosomal RNA
Source: RNAcentral
GUUGACACCUGCAGAAGAAGGAGCGCCCCACUACGUGCCAUCCCCCGCGGUGACACGUAGGCUCCGAGCGUUGUCCGGAUUUAUUGUGCGUAAAGAGCUCGUAUGCGGUUGAGUAAGUCGGGUGUGAAAACUCUGGGCUUAACCCGGACACGCCAUCCGAUACUGCUCUGACUAGAGUUCAGGAGGGGAGUGGGGAAUUCCUAGUGGAGGGGUGAAAUGCGCACAUAUUAGGAGGAACACCGGUGGCGAAGGCGCCACUCUGGACUGAAACUGACGCUGAGGAACGAAAGCAUGGGUAGCAAACAGGAUUAAAUACCCUGGUAGUCCAUGCCGUAAACGGUGGGCACUAGGUGUGGGUUCCAACUAACGGGAUCCGCGCCGUCGCUAACGCAUUAAGUGCCCCGCCUGGGGAGUACGGUCGCAAGACUAAAACUC